Molecule: non-coding RNA, 73 nt
Organism: Stegodyphus mimosarum
Lineage: Eukaryota; Metazoa; Arthropoda; Arachnida; Araneae; Eresidae
Source: Rfam
GUCUUCGUGGUGUAGUGGUCAGCUCGCUGGGCGCGUAUUCCAGAGGUCCGUGGUUCGAGUCCUGGCGAAUGCG